Molecule: long non-coding RNA, 539 nt
Organism: Saccoglossus kowalevskii
Lineage: Eukaryota; Metazoa; Hemichordata; Enteropneusta; Harrimaniidae
Source: RefSeq, a predicted model, not a curated record
CUUUUGAAUGAAUAAAAUGCACAUUUUUACUCGGAAUUACAAUAAUAUUUAUAUUAUGUAUUAAGUUAUUUGAACUUUGCUUACACUGCAAGACUUGGGCCUAUGUGAUCUUGUUUUAAUUUAUAUAAUAUUAUUAUUCUGAAUAUGUAUGUUAUAUUUACAGUAUUUUCAAACUGUUAAUCAAGUGACAACAUGGCAACUAAGUUUAUGUGUAUAGCUUUGGCACUGAUGCUGAUCUGUAUCAUAAUAAGUCCUGCAGAAGUAGAUAGUUCGAGUUCGGAAUCAAGUGAAAGUCAAUCAGCGAGUGAUUCAUUUGAAUCGGUCGAAACGAUCGAGGAAUUAGGCGAUAAUACUCGGUUAGAUUUUGGGAAGAAAUAGCUGCUCUAAAAGUUCUAAACUCAGUCGCCGGCUUUUACAAGAUAAAGUGCAAUUCAUGCUGUGUACUUGACGAGUGAUUAAGAACGAAACGACUUUUAACUAUCAACAAUGAUUAAUUGGUGGUGGUGAUAAUAUACCUUUAACUGUAAUAAAAUAUUCUG